UGUAAGCGUAUACCAAAGUUGUUGCAGUUAAAACGCUCGUAGUCGGAAUUUGGCAGUUCCGGAUGUGUGCACGUCGUGUGCGCACUUCGCGGGGAUUGCUUUUGUGGUCUUGCGUAGGAUGAGGCACUUUUAUUAGUGAACGUCCUCACGCAACCACUUUUUACUGUGAGAAAAUCAGAGUGCUCAAAGCAGGCGUUUGCCGUGAAUGUAUUAGCAUGGAAUAAUAGAAUAGGACUUGGUUCUAUUUUGUUGGUUUGUUGGGACUGAGUAAUGAUUAAGAGGGACAGUUGGGGGCAUUUGUAUUUCGGUGCUAGAGGUGAAAUUCUUAGAUUACCGAAAGACAAACUGCUGCGAAAGCGUCUGCCAAGGAUGUUUUCACUGA
RNAcentral lists this ribosomal RNA (382 nucleotides) under uncultured eukaryote. Its description in RNAcentral is "partial 18S ribosomal RNA". It matches the Rfam family "Eukaryotic small subunit ribosomal RNA", at positions 592 to 976 of the family's 1831-position model. The record is from RNAcentral.